AUUGAACGCUGGCGGCAUGCCUUACACAUGCCAGUCGAACGGCAGCACGGGUGCUUGCACCUGGUGGCGAGUGGCGAACGGGUGAGUAAUACAUCGGAACAUGUCCUGUAGUGGGGGAUAGCCCGGCGAAAGCCGGAUUAAUACCGCAUACGAUCUACGGAUGAAAGCGGGGGACCUUCGGGCCUCGCGCUAUAGGGUUGGCCGAUGGCUGAUUAGCUAGUUGGUGGGGUAAAGGCCUACCAAGGCGACGAUCAGUAGCUGGUCUGAGAGGACGACCAGCCACACUGGGACUGAGAAACGGCCCAGACUCCUACGGGAGGCAGCAGUGGGGAAUUUUGGACAAUGGGCGAAAGCCUGAUCCAGCAAUGCCGCGUGUGUGAAGAAGGCCUUCGGGUUGUAAAGCACUUUUGUCCGGAAAGAAAUCCUUGGCCCUAAUACGGUCGGGGGAUGACGGUACCGGAAGAAUAAGCACCGGCUAACUACGUG
This 486-nucleotide ribosomal RNA is filed under the name uncultured bacterium. RNAcentral's name for it is "partial 16S ribosomal RNA". It matches the Rfam family "Bacterial small subunit ribosomal RNA", at positions 30 to 507 of the family's 1533-position model. The record is from RNAcentral.